GAUGAACGCUGGCGGCGUGCCUAAUACAUGCAAGUCGAGCGAACGGACGAGAAGCUUGCUUCUCUGAUGUUAGCGGCGGACGGGUGAGUAACACGUGGAUAACCUACCUAUAAGACUGGGAUAACUUCGGGAAACCGGAGCUAAUGCCGGAUAAUAUUUUGAACCGCAUGGUUCAAAAGUGAAAGACGGUCUUGCUGUCACUUAUAGAUGGAUCCGCGCUGCAUUAGCUAGUUGGUAAGGUAACGGCUUACCAAGGCAACGAUGCAUAGCCGACCUGAGAGGGUGAUCGGCCACACUGGAACUGAGACACGGUCCAGACUCCUACGGGAGGCAGCAGUAGGGAAUCUUCCGCAAUGGGCGAAAGCCUGACGGAGCAACGCCGCGUGAGUGAUGAAGGUCUUCGGAUCGUAAAACUCUGUUAUUAGGGAAGAACAUAUGUGUAAGUAACUGUGCACAUCUUGACGGUACCUAAUCAGAAAGCCACGGCUAGCUACGUG
RNAcentral lists this ribosomal RNA (497 nucleotides) under uncultured bacterium. Its description in RNAcentral is "partial 16S ribosomal RNA". It matches the Rfam family "Bacterial small subunit ribosomal RNA", at positions 28 to 507 of the family's 1533-position model. The record is from RNAcentral.